CAUAACAUGAUAUAUAAUUCAACUAUAAAAACGUGUUUGACACAACCCUAGCUUUGAUUCUCAAAACCUUUGUUUGUUUUUCCUCUCUUCAGCGACAAAUGACGAACGACAAGGCGAUGAAUGCAGUUCGUGAACAGCUAUUGAGCGUUCUUUGUACAACAAAGGGUCCGGCGAGAAUAGCGGUGGUCGCGACCUCCUAUUCCGGUGGUGCAAGCCAAUCGACUCAACCGAGGACGACAACGAUGUCAUGACCUCUUCACCGUCGUCGGUUGAGAUCGAAACUGAUCGUUUAGACUUGAUUUUGACAGCAAUUGAAGAGAACAAUCAGGCCAUGAAGAAAUUACGCAGUGUUUUUAUGUACAUAAUAGGGUUUUUGUUGUUGUAAUGCUUGUUUGUAUUUUCCAGUUGAAGUGAUUUGGUGAUGAACAACUUUGAUUUUUGUUGUAAUGUUUUUUUGUAUUUUUCAGUUGAAGUGAUUUGUAUUGGAUGCGUUUGCUUGCAAUUGGAUUGACAUCUGGAUCCUAAA
Molecule: long non-coding RNA, 526 nt
Organism: Salvia splendens (bonfire salvia)
Lineage: Eukaryota; Viridiplantae; Streptophyta; Magnoliopsida; Lamiales; Lamiaceae
Exons: 2
Source: RefSeq, a predicted model, not a curated record